This 459-nucleotide ribosomal RNA is filed under the name uncultured bacterium. RNAcentral's name for it is "partial 16S ribosomal RNA". It matches the Rfam family "Bacterial small subunit ribosomal RNA", at positions 338 to 795 of the family's 1533-position model. The record is from RNAcentral.
CCUACGGGAGGCAGCAGUGAGGAAUAUUGGUCAAUGGGCGCGAGCCUGAACCAGCCAAGUCGCGUGAGGGAAGACGGUCCUAUGGAUUGUAAACCUCUUUUGUCGGGGAGCAAAAGACGCCACGCGUGGCGUUCCGAGAGUACCCGGAGAAAAAGCAUCGGCCAACUCCGUGCAAGCAGCCGCGGUAAUACGGAGUAUGCGAGCGUUAUCCGGAUGUGUUGGGUUUAAGGGGUGCGCGGGGGGAAGAUAAAGUCAGCGGUAAAAUUGAGGGGCUCAACCUCUUCGAGCCGUUGAAACUGGUUUUCUUGAGUAAGUGAGAAGUAUGCGGAAUGCGUGGUGUAGCGGUGAAAUGCAUAGAUAUUAGGAGGAACACCAGUGGCGAAGGCGGCUUACUGGACUGUAACUGACGUUGAGGCUCGAAAGCGUGGGGAGCAAACAGGAUUAGAUACCCCUGUAGUC